GCAUACCUUAGAGCCUAAAUCAUACUAAAUAUGUAAAUAGUAUUACUAUCAAAUCCUCCUUCAAAAAGAUUUCCAAGCAUUUAUCCGUAUAAAUAAAUUUAUUGUAACCCACCUCUUCUUUUCCAUAAGCUGCACCUUGAUCUGAUCUUAUCUAUAUAUUAGAUUAUGAAAAUUUGAUUCCUUUUAAAAUUUUCAUAUCACAACGAUAUACAAACAAAUAGGAAAAGUAAAUUCAAUCGUGGAUCAUCAAUUAUAGGACAGGUUCCUCUGAAUGGCAUAAGGUACCGCCAAAUCUUUUAAUUUUCAAGAACAUAGCUACUAAUAACCUAAAACAAAAUUUAAACUCCUA
RNAcentral lists this ribosomal RNA (349 nucleotides) under Hololepta plana. Its description in RNAcentral is "partial 12S ribosomal RNA". Lineage: Eukaryota; Metazoa; Arthropoda; Insecta; Coleoptera; Histeridae. The record is from RNAcentral.